GCCGGGCAUGGUGGCACACACCUGUAAUCCCAGAGGCUUGGGAGGCGGAGGCAGGAGGAUCAUGAGUUUAAAGCCCGCCUCAGCAACUCAGUGAGAUCCUGUCUCCA
Molecule: small RNA, 107 nt
Filed under: Marmota monax (woodchuck)
Lineage: Eukaryota; Metazoa; Chordata; Mammalia; Rodentia; Sciuridae
Source: RNAcentral